This 248-nucleotide ribosomal RNA is filed under the name Taenia multiceps. RNAcentral's name for it is "partial small subunit ribosomal RNA". The record is from RNAcentral. Lineage: Eukaryota; Metazoa; Platyhelminthes; Cestoda; Cyclophyllidea; Taeniidae.
GUGGUGUAAAGGAUGUUCCGCCUAUUAAUUUACUUUUAUUAUGUUGGUGUAUAUCUGGUUUAAUAUUAUUGUUGAAUAAUAUAAGUUUGUGUAAUUUUAUUAGUUAAGCCAAGUCUAUGUGCUGCUUAUAGAAGUAUUCAUGCGUUACUUUAAUAAAGUUUUAGUUGUAAGUACUAUCAUAUUCAGGACUUAAAAGUAAUGUUAAAUUAGUUUGUUAAUGUGAAAUAAGUUUAGCUCAUGUACACACC